GGGGAUUUAGCUCAGCGGCCUAAGUACCUGCCUUGCAAGCAGACGGUCAUGAGUUCAAUCCCCA
Transfer RNA from Cavia porcellus (domestic guinea pig), 64 nucleotides. It matches the Rfam family "tRNA". Rfam says of the family: Transfer RNA (tRNA) molecules are approximately 80 nucleotides in length. Their secondary structure includes four short double-helical elements and three loops (D, anti-codon, and T loops). NCBI's taxonomy places the organism in Eukaryota, Metazoa, Chordata, Mammalia, Rodentia, Caviidae. The record is from Rfam.